RNAcentral lists this long non-coding RNA (635 nucleotides) under Chinchilla lanigera (long-tailed chinchilla). RNAcentral's name for it is "lncRNA (ENSCLAG00000026532.1)". The record is from RNAcentral. Lineage: Eukaryota; Metazoa; Chordata; Mammalia; Rodentia; Chinchillidae.
CAAAAAAAUCCUCACUUUCUGGUCUCUCAAAUGAUGUGCCAAUUCUGGGUAAGUAUCACACUAUAAAGGACCAACAUUUCUCUAUCCUGGGAUUACUAACUAAACCUUACCUGUACAAGUGGGAAGCUAAUAAUGGUCAAGUUUUACCUUUUUCACGAGCUUGUUUUGUAUUUCCUGUCGAUAUAACAAACUACUUAAAGUACAGAAGAGCUGGUCUCGCAGCUCGACGGUCUAAAUUAGAGCUUUAAUGAAUGAUAAAUCUGGGAGUAGUCCAGAACACAGGCAGCAUCAGCAACAGUUCCAGCGCGCACACACGCCCCGGCGACCAGACCGGACCGCGGCUCCCGGAGGUGCUCCCAGCGCCCCGGGCGGGGGAGGGUCCCAGCGAGACCCGCGCCGCCGCAGAGCGGGGGAGCUCCGGGCGCCCGCGGGAAGGGCCGGGACCCCGCGGCUCCCUCUCGGCCCCGCACCCGCCCCGUCGCUCACCGCCCGCCCGGGCAGGCCCGCAAGAGCGGGACGCGAGAGAUGGAUACCAGAAAGGGUCUUUGCAUGGAAAUAGCACUGAAGUGCAUCGAAGAACUGCAAUAACAAUUAGAAACCCUCUGAUCCCCAGGUUUUGUUUGAAAAAUGAAUAA